RNAcentral lists this ribosomal RNA (247 nucleotides) under Hebeloma sp. RNAcentral describes it as "partial large subunit ribosomal RNA". It matches the Rfam family "Eukaryotic large subunit ribosomal RNA", at positions 104 to 344 of the family's 3401-position model. Lineage: Eukaryota; Fungi; Basidiomycota; Agaricomycetes; Agaricales; Hymenogastraceae. The record is from RNAcentral.
AAAGCUCAAAUUUAAAAUCUGGCGGUCUCCGGCCGUCCGAGUUGUAAUCUAGAGAAGUGUUAUCCGCGCUGGACCGUGUACAAGUCUCCUGGAAUGGAGCGUCAUAGAGGGUGAGAAUCCCGUCUUUGACACGGACUGCCAGGGCUUUGUGAUGCGCUCUCAAAGAGUCGAGUUGUUUGGGAAUGCAGCUCAAAAUGGGUGGUAAAUUCCAUCUAAAGCUAAAUAUUGGCGAGAGACCGAUAGCGAA